Molecule: non-coding RNA, 46 nt
Filed under: Schistosoma curassoni
Lineage: Eukaryota; Metazoa; Platyhelminthes; Trematoda; Strigeidida; Schistosomatidae
Source: RNAcentral
GCACUGUUGAAGAGUCCUGUAAUAGGACGAAACAGCAGUCCAGUGC